This is a long non-coding RNA of Equus caballus (horse), 626 nucleotides long. RefSeq lists it as uncharacterized. Lineage: Eukaryota; Metazoa; Chordata; Mammalia; Perissodactyla; Equidae. The record is from RefSeq and is a predicted model, not a curated record.
CUGUUUCCAAACUGGGCUGAGUGCUGGGGAUGCAACAGUGAACAACGCCCAGGCUCCGUCUUUCCGGAUCUUGAGGUCUGGCGGGAAAGAGAGGCGUGGAAAAGACAAUUGCAAGAUGAUAGGUUAAGUGUUCCGAGCCUUUCAGGAAAGUACUGUGAUUAACGUGUUCUACUGAAGAGGAAAUUGUACCUUGAAGAAGUGGCAUGUCCUCCCCUAGAUCAUGGACUGUAGGCAGUGAAACGAGGUUGGCUGGUUAACGGAUGGCGUGGGAUUCUAAGCCAUCCAGGCGAGAGUGAAUGUUGUUGGAUUUCCCAACUAGUGGAAAAGGCACCGAUGACAGAAGGAGCUACAGGGAGACCAGCUGUCCUGUUAUGAAGACACGCAAGCAGUCCUGUGCAGAGACCCAUUUGGCAAGGAACGGAGGUUCUUGCAAACAGCCCUAUGAGUGAACCCUCUUGCAAAUGGAUCUUCCAACCCCAGUCAAGCCUUCGGGUGAAACCGCAGCCCUGGCUUCUCGACUACACCUUCCAGAGACCUUGAACCAGACCCACCCAGCUAAGCAGCUCCCAAAUGUCUGACUCUCCGAAACUGUGAGAUGAUAAAUGUUUGUCCUUUUAAGCCUCUAA